UAGAAUUUUGAACGUCUUAUAACUAGUUAUAAGGGUUAAAUUAAAUUCAUUGAUUUUGAUGAAUAACUUAAAUUUAUUUUUGUACUAAUGAUACUUAUUAAGUUUUUAAGCUAGUAAGCGCUAAUCAAGAUGGUAAAAACAAAUUCUAAAAGGUUAUAAAAGCAUCAACAAGAAGAGAAACAAAUUAAAAAUCAAGAAUAAUUUUUUUUUCUUAGAUUUGUUUUAUGUUUUAUGUAAAUCAUGUAACUCCUGGCUGGUAGCCCAAAAUAGUUUCUUUUU
Molecule: long non-coding RNA, 279 nt
Filed under: Carica papaya (papaya)
Lineage: Eukaryota; Viridiplantae; Streptophyta; Magnoliopsida; Brassicales; Caricaceae
Description: long non-coding RNA (CPAP_LNC002692)
Source: RNAcentral